GCAAGUCGAACGAGAACGGAUAUUAGCUUGCUAAUAUUGUCAGCUAAGUGGCGCACGGGUGAGUAAUAUAUAGUUAAUCUGCCCCAAAGAAGAGAAUAAUUGUUGGAAACGACUUGUAAUGCUCUAUAUGCCUUUAUCACAUAAGUGAGCAAGGGAAAUAUUUAUAGCUUUGGGAUGAGACUGUGCGGUAUCAGCUUGUUGGUAAGGUAAUGGCUUACCAAGACUAUGACGCCUAGCUGGUUUGAGAGGAUGAUC
Molecule: ribosomal RNA, 255 nt
Filed under: uncultured bacterium
Lineage: Bacteria
Description: partial 16S ribosomal RNA
Rfam family: Bacterial small subunit ribosomal RNA
Source: RNAcentral